CUGAAUAUGGGGGGACCAUCCUCCAAGGCUAAAUACUCCUGACUGACCGAUAGUGAACCAGUACCGUGAGGGAAAGGCGAAAAGAACCCCGGCGAGGGGAGUGAAAAAGAACCUGAAACCGUGUACGUACAAGCAGUGGGAGCCCCACCACUAAGCCAGUGGUGAACUCCACAUACGCAUCCUUUGCUGAGGAUACGGUUAACGGAGCGAAAGCGACGUUCAACCGCAAAAAAAGAAGCAGAGGGGGCUUAGUGGUGGGGUGACUGCGUACCUUUUGUAUAAUGGGUCAGCGACUUAUAUUCUGUAGCAAGGUUAACCGCAUAGGGGAGCCGGAGGGAAACCGAGUCUUAAUUGGGCGUUAAGUUGCAGGGUAUAGACCCGAAACCCGGUGAUCUAGCCAUGGGCAGGUUGAAGGUUGGGUAACACUAACUGGAGGACCGAACCGACUAAUGUUGAAAAAUUAGCGGAUGACCUGUGGCUGGGGGUGAAAGGCCAAUCAAACCGGGAGAUAGCUGGUUCUCCCCGAAAGCUAUUUAGGUAGCGCCUCGUGAAUUCAUCUCCGGGGGUAGAGCACUGUUUCGGCUAGGGGGCCAUCCCGGCUUACCAACCCGAUGCAAACUGCGAAUACCGGAGAAUGUUAUCACGGGAGACACACGGCGGGUGCUAACGUCCGUCGUGAAGAGGGAAACAACCCAGACCGCCAGCUAAGGUCCCAAAGUCAUGGUUAAGUGGGAAACGAUGUGGGAAGGCCCAGACAGCCAGGAUGUUGGCUUAGAAGCAGCCAUCAUUUAAAGAAAGCGUAAUAGCUCACUGGUCGAGUCGGCCUGCGCGGAAGAUGUAACGGGGCUAAACCAUGCACCGAAGCUGCGGCAGCGACGCUGAUGCGUUGUUGGGUAGGGGAGCG
Molecule: ribosomal RNA, 904 nt
Filed under: Salmonella enterica
Lineage: Bacteria; Pseudomonadati; Pseudomonadota; Gammaproteobacteria; Enterobacterales; Enterobacteriaceae
Description: partial 23S ribosomal RNA
Rfam family: Bacterial large subunit ribosomal RNA
Source: RNAcentral